RNAcentral lists this ribosomal RNA (898 nucleotides) under bacterium enrichment culture clone PCP12. RNAcentral describes it as "bacterial SSU rRNA". It matches the Rfam family "Bacterial small subunit ribosomal RNA", at positions 614 to 1501 of the family's 1533-position model. The record is from RNAcentral.
UCAGAAAUGGCAUUGGAAACUACCUUGCUCGAGGAUUGGAGGGGGGACUGGAAUUCUCGGUGUAGCAGUGAAAUGCGUAGAGAUCGAGAGGAACACCAGUGGCGAAGGCGAGUCCCUGGACAAUUCCUGACGCUGAGGCACGAAAGCUAGGGGAGCAAACAGGAUUAGAUACCCUGGUAGUCCUAGCCGUAAACGGUGUGCACUUGCUGUAGGCGGAAUCGACCCCGUCUGUGGCGAAGCAAACGCGUUAAGUGCACCGCCUGGGAAGUACGGUCGCAAGAUUAAAACUCAAAGAAAUUGACGGGGGCCUGCACAAGCGGUGGAGUAUGUGGCUCAAUUCGAUGCAACGCGAAGAACCUUACCUGGCCUUGACAUGUAGAUGGUAGAAGGAUGAAAGUCUGACGACCCCGCAAGGGGAGUCUACACAGGUGCUGCAUGGCUGUCGUCAGCUCGUGUCGUGAGAUGUUGGGUUAAGUCCCGCAACGAGCGCAACCCUCGUGUCCUGUUGCCACCCGGUCGAGAGACUGGAGCACUCUGGACAGACUGCCUCGCUUAAACGGGGAGGAAGGUGAGGAUGACGUCAAGUCAGUAUGGCCCUUACGGCCAGGGCUGCACACGUACUACAAUGGCUGGCACAAAGGGAAGCAAGACCGUCAGGUGGAGCAAAUCCCCAAAAACCAGCCUCAGUUCAGAUUGUCGUCUGCAACUCGACGGCAUGAAGCUGGAAUCGCUAGUAAUGGCGCAUCAGCUACGGCGCCGUGAAUACGUUCCCAGGCCUUGUACACACCGCCCGUCACAUCAUGAAAGCCGGUUGUACCCGAAGUCAUCGCGUUAACUGCAAAGAGACAGAUGCCGAAGGUAUGGCUGGUGAUUGGGAUGAAGUCGUAACAAGGUAACC